RNAcentral lists this ribosomal RNA (207 nucleotides) under uncultured bacterium. RNAcentral's name for it is "partial 16S ribosomal RNA". It matches the Rfam family "Bacterial small subunit ribosomal RNA", at positions 568 to 774 of the family's 1533-position model. The record is from RNAcentral.
CUCGUAGGCGGCCUGCCAAGUCCCACGUGAAAGACCAGGGCUCAACCCUGGGGACGCGAGGGAAACUGGUAAGCUGGAAUCUUGGAGGGGGUACUGGAAUUCCUGGUGUAGGGGUGAAAUCUGUUGAUAUCAGGAAGAACACCGGAGGCGAAGGCGAGUACCUGGCCAAAGAUUGACGCUGAUGAGCGAAAGCGUAGGGAGCGAAUA